Rhagoletis pomonella (apple maggot) is the source of this 348-nucleotide long non-coding RNA. RefSeq lists it as uncharacterized. NCBI's taxonomy places the organism in Eukaryota, Metazoa, Arthropoda, Insecta, Diptera, Tephritidae. The transcript has 3 exons. The record is from RefSeq and is a predicted model, not a curated record.
GAACAGCUGGGGCGAAAUUGAAAGGUUUGUUUACAAAGUGCAUAAUAAAUCGCGGAUUUACGGAAUUAUUUAAUUUUAAAUGUAAUUGAACAAAUACCAGCGGGCUGCCAGCGGGUCAGUUGCUGGUAACAAUUUGCAGGACGAUUCCACGGUGAUCGUUGCAUCGUCGUCAAUUAGUGAACUCACUACUUUUCCGGCAGCCGCAACAAACGCUGGCCCAAGCCUGCAAAUUGCCAGCAACUGACCCGCUAGCUGCACACUGGCAUUUGUUCAACUACUCAAAAAUGCACUUUGUAAACAAACUUUUGGGUGUUUGCCACAUCAAGCGGCUCAUCUGGAUGAAAUGAA